This 669-nucleotide ribosomal RNA is filed under the name Pseudomonas sp. Its description in RNAcentral is "bacterial SSU rRNA". It matches the Rfam family "Bacterial small subunit ribosomal RNA", at positions 109 to 773 of the family's 1533-position model. The record is from RNAcentral. Lineage: Bacteria; Pseudomonadati; Pseudomonadota; Gammaproteobacteria; Pseudomonadales; Pseudomonadaceae.
AGUAAUGCCUAGGAAUCUGCCUGGUAGUGGGGGAUAACGUUCGGAAACGGACGCUAAUACCGCAUACGUCCUACGGGAGAAAGCAGGGGACCUUCGGGCCUUGCGCUAUCAGAUGAGCCUAGGUCGGAUUAGCUAGUUGGUGAGGUAAUGGCUCACCAAGGCUACGAUCCGUAACUGGUCUGAGAGGAUGAUCAGUCACACUGGAACUGAGACACGGUCCAGACUCCUACGGGAGGCAGCAGUGGGGAAUAUUGGACAAUGGGCGAAAGCCUGAUCCAGCCAUGCCGCGUGUGUGAAGAAGGUCUUCGGAUUGUAAAGCACUUUAAGUUGGGAGGAAGAGCAGUUACCUAAUACGUGAUUGUUUUGACGUUACCGACAGAAUAAGCACCGGCUAACUCUGUGCCAGCAGCCGCGGUAAUACAGAGGGUGCAAGCGUUAAUCGGAAUUACUGGGCGUAAAGCGCGCGUAGGUGGUUUGUUAAGUUGGAUGUGAAAUCCCCGGGCUCAACCUGGGAACUGCAUUCAAAACUGACUGACUAGAGUAUGGUAGAGGGUGGUGGAAUUUCCUGUGUAGCGGUGAAAUGCGUAGAUAUAGGAAGGAACACCAGUGGCGAAAGGCGACCACCUGGACUAAUACUGACACUGAGGUGCGAAAGCGUGGGGAGCAAAC